GGGGGAAUGGGGGCAGACUAAAAUGCAGUCGAGCGGCAGCGGGGGGAAGCUUGCUUCCCCGCCGGCGAGCGGCGGACGGGUGAGUAAUGUCUGGGGAUCUGCCUGAUGGAGGGGGAUAACUACUGGAAACGGUAGCUAAUACCGCAUAACGUCGCAAGACCAAAGUGGGGGACCUUCGGGCCUCACGCCAUCGGAUGAACCCAGAUGGGAUUAGCUAGUAGGUGGGGUAACGGCUCACCUAGGCGACGAUCCCUAGCUGGUCUGAGAGGAUGACCAGCCACACUGGAACUGAGACACGGUCCAGACUCCUACGGGAGGCAGCAGUGGGGAAUAUUGCACAAUGGGGGAAACCCUGAUGCAGCCAUGCCGCGUGUGUGAAGAAGGCCUUCGGGUUGUAAAGCACUUUCAGCGGGGAGGAAGGCGGUAAGGUUAAUAACCUUGUCGAUUGACGUUACCCGCAGAAGAAGCACCGGCUAACUCCGUGCCAGCAGCCGCGGUAAUACGGAGGGUGCAAGCGUUAAUCGGAAUGACUGGGCGUAAAGCGCACGCAGGCGGUCUGUUAAGUUGGAUGUGAAAUCCCCGGGCUUAACCUGGGAACUGCAUUCAAAACUGACAGGCUAGAGUCUCGUAGAGGGGGGUAGAAUUCCAGGUGUAGCGGUGAAAUGCGUAGAGAUCUGGAGGAAUACCGGUGGCGAAGGCGGCCCCCUGGACGAAGACUGACGCUCAGGUGCGAAAGCGUGGGGAGCAAACAGGAUUAGAUACCCUGGUAGUCCACGCUGUAAACGAUGUCGAUUUGGAGGUUGUGCCCUUGAGGCGUGGCUUCCGGAGCUAACGCGUUAAAUCGACCGCCUGGGGAGUACGGCCGCAAGGUUAAAACUCAAAUGAAUUGACGGGGGCCCGCACAAGCGGUGGAGCAUGUGGUUUAAUUCGAUGCAACGCGAAGAACCUUACCUACUCUUGACAUCCAGCGAAGACUGCAGAGAUGCGGUCGUGCCUUCGGGAACGCUGAGACAGGUGCUGCAUGGCUGUCGUCAGCUCGUGUUGUGAAAUGUUGGGUUAAGUCCCGCAACGAGCGCAACCCUU
This 1083-nucleotide ribosomal RNA is filed under the name Dickeya chrysanthemi. RNAcentral's name for it is "bacterial SSU rRNA". It matches the Rfam family "Bacterial small subunit ribosomal RNA", at positions 26 to 1106 of the family's 1533-position model. The record is from RNAcentral. Lineage: Bacteria; Pseudomonadati; Pseudomonadota; Gammaproteobacteria; Enterobacterales; Pectobacteriaceae.